UAUAAGAGGUCCAGCCUGCCCAGUGACCAAAAGUUUAACGGCCGCGGUAUUUUGACCGUGCAAAGGUAGCGCAAUCACUUGUCUUUUAAAUAAAGACCUGUAUGAAUGGCCAAACGAGGGCUUAACUGUCUCCCUUUUUAAGUCAGUAAAAUUGAUCUGCCCGUGCAGAAGCGGGCAUAAAAAUACAAGACGAGAAGACCCUUUGGAGCUUAAGGUACAAAACUCAACCACGUCAAGCAACCAACAUAAAAUAGCAGUAAACCUUGUGGUAAAUGAGACCAUACCUUCGGUUGGGGCGACCACGGAGGAAAAAAAAGCCUCCAAGUGGAGUGGGGAAACCCCCUAAAACUAAGAGAGACAUCUCUAAGGCACAGAACAUCUGACCAUAAAUGAUCCGGCCAACAAAUGACCGAUCAACGAACCAAGUUACCCUAGGGAUAACAGCGCAAUCCUCUCCCAGAGUCCAUAUCGACGAGAGGGUUUACGACCUCGAUGUUGGAUCAGGACAUCCUAAUGGUGCAGCCGCUAUUAAGGGUUCGUUUGUUCAACGAUUAAAGUCCUACGUGAUCUG
This 571-nucleotide ribosomal RNA is filed under the name Barbodes binotatus (spotted barb). RNAcentral describes it as "partial 16S ribosomal RNA". It matches the Rfam family "Bacterial large subunit ribosomal RNA", at positions 1844 to 2607 of the family's 2925-position model. Lineage: Eukaryota; Metazoa; Chordata; Actinopteri; Cypriniformes; Cyprinidae. The record is from RNAcentral.